AACCCAGAGGUCGAUGGAUCGAAACCAUCCUCUGCUAAAUAUUUUUCUCCUGUUAGUAUCUGUGGAUAUCAUUUUUCCGUUACGUGGUCAGUAAUGGACGUUGGCCAAUCGCGGCCCUUCUCUCCAGCGUGAACUUGUGUUACGUUACCAAGUUACGCAGAACGACGUUCCUCAUCACUCUGCUGAAGAUAGCUGAAGCUACUACAAGUCGUCAAAGAGCUGACUUGCCAUGGAAGUGGGACAGCUCUUUGGGUGACCUCCAUUGGCAACAAGGUUGGCUAGAUCCUGACCAGUGCAGGAGGGCCUGGGACUGGAUAGGAUGGUGUCUGGCGAGAUGGAGCGGUACCGCCAAGCAGCUGUUCCACCCCUAGUCCUGCUAUACGUGGACUGUGGCCGCUGCGUGAGUGAGGGGGCGAGCAAGCUGCAGACCAGGUUUGUGGAGUGGCCAGACCUUCACAAACGGCUAGACAUCUGGCACUUCAUGAGGAGGCUGGCUGUCGGUGGCACCACCCAUGCUCUACCCCACCUUCAUGGGCUGCCUGUCUGCAUGCACCUUUGAGUGGGAUGCAGGGGACCUCGCUCUGUUGCGGCAGAUGACGAGGGAGCAGCUCAAGCAGGAGGGUGUGCUAGCCCUUACUGAUCUUCUGAUCUUCUGGUGGACAGGAGAAUAAGUAGGAAGGAGCUGAGCCAGUACUGCUGCAGGAGGACAUGCAGCGUGGAGGCCGCCAUCUGCCUUAUUGAGCGGCUGCUGCAGGAACUGGGGGGCGGCAAACCCUGACUGCUGCUGCCUCCUCCCUAACAGCUUCCACCAUGCUGCAGCCAGGUGUCCCAGCCUCUCCUGGUGAGUCUGGGGUAUGUACAUUCAUAAUUGUGUUAAAAGUAAUAAAAUCACUGUAACUGCAUUUUGCCCCACAUCUCUGUUUCCAAAAUGUGUCGCUCAUCUAUUUUUUUAUUUAAUUUUUUCAGGCUGUGGAUGACUGGCGUGCCAGGCAUGGACAGAGUUGACAGCAUGGCAGAGUAUCUGGUGGAGAUGAGGAACCAGCCCUCUCUGGCCCUCACCAACCAGCAGGGCUGGUGUGUUCUCUCUCUCUGUCCAGAUGAGAUCUCAUCCUGAAUGACUACAGAAGGAUCAGGCGGCGCAUUCUGGCCAAUGGGGCUGUUAUGCAACAGACCACCCUGCAGCUGGUGGACGUGAGCCACACCACCCUGGUACAGUGGCACAACAAGAGGGUGAAGAGGCAGGGCAACUUGGUGGUGAUGCAGGGACUGGACAUGCCCAGCCGCUUGUCUGUGGCGACUGACCCUCUUCUCCCUGCUAAUGUGUGCCAACCAUCUGACCAUGAACUUGCAUUGAAAUAUAUAAUGUAGAAUUAUCAAUAUCUCACUAAUAUAUGGUUAAUGAAAAGUAAUAUGCAAACAAAUUGUGAUUUCCAAUAAUAAAAAUGAACUUUGCAGUAAAUAAUGCAUGGCUCAAUUUCAGCUAACAGUGGGACUCGAACCGGGAACCUUGGGGUCAACUCUUCUCUCAUAUAAAUGCAUAUAUGCAUUGAAAUAUCCAAUGUAGAAUUUUCCAUAUCUCACUAAAAUAAGGUUAAUAAAAAGUAAUAUGCAAACAAAUUGUGAUUUCCAAUAAUAAAAAUGAACUUUGCAGUAAAUAAUGCACACCUCAAUUUCUGCUAACAGUGGGAUUCGAACCGGGAACCUCUUCUCUCAUAUAAUUGCAUAUAAAAACAGAAGCUUAAGGUUUAAAACAUAAUUUAUGAUAUACAUCAACAUUUAAAAAACGUCAGUCAUGGAGGAUUAGGCCAUACAAAAAACCUUUCCUUCUUUAUUUCUCUCCUUUUCCUUUUUUCCUCUCUUUUCUUUUCCCCUCUUCUUCCCCCCUUUUUCCUCUUCUUCCCCCCCAAAACAGACUAUUUUACACCAGCUUCCUCGCCUCCCUGCUAAUGUGUGCCCACCAUCUGCCCCCCCAACCAGGCCCAGUUCACCAGUACCACCCAGCUGGCAAGCACUGUGGUGAAGGUGAAGGUUAGGCCAUACAAAAAACCUUUCCUUCUUUAUUUCUCUCCUUUUCCUUUUUUCCUCUCUUUUCUUUUCCCCUCUUCUUCCCCCCUUUUUCCUUUCUCCCCCCCCCAAAACAGACUAUUGUGCACCAGCUUC
Molecule: long non-coding RNA, 2160 nt
Organism: Clupea harengus (Atlantic herring)
Lineage: Eukaryota; Metazoa; Chordata; Actinopteri; Clupeiformes; Clupeidae
Exons: 3
Source: RefSeq, a predicted model, not a curated record